This 253-nucleotide ribosomal RNA is filed under the name uncultured bacterium. RNAcentral describes it as "partial 16S ribosomal RNA". It matches the Rfam family "Bacterial small subunit ribosomal RNA", at positions 524 to 776 of the family's 1533-position model. The record is from RNAcentral.
GACAGAGGGUGCAAACGUUGUUCGGAAUUACUGGGCGUAAAGCGAACGUAGGCGGUGUUCCAUGUCAGAGGUGAAAGCCUGGGGCUCAACUCCAGAAUUGCCUUUGAAACGGGGACGCUUGAGUCCGAGAGAGGGUGGCGGAAUUCCUAGUGUAGAGGUGAAAUUCGUAGAUAUUAGGAAGAACACCGGUGGCGAAGGCGGCCAUCUGGCUCGGUACUGACGCUCAGGUUCGAAAGCGUGGGGAGCAAACAGG